Molecule: long non-coding RNA, 1619 nt
Organism: Eufriesea mexicana
Lineage: Eukaryota; Metazoa; Arthropoda; Insecta; Hymenoptera; Apidae
Exons: 4
Source: RefSeq, a predicted model, not a curated record
AUUCAUGCAGUCCCUGGACAUUUGACUCUCCAAUAUUCUACUCUACCUUCUUCCAUUUAUAUCUUUUCUCAAUUUCAUUCUCCCUGGCUCUCAAAAUCCACAUUAUUGGACGACUGGUUCUGGCAAUUACAAAAGAAAAAUAUAACAGGUGGUGGUGGUGAAGAUUUGAAUCACCUCGACGACUUAAUUAGUUAAUGGAUCCUCGUGGAAUGAUAUUUAUGAUCAUGCAACGUUGUGGAGAGGGAGGAACCAAGAAAAUAGAAAGAACACUCGCAUUACAAAAGUAAAAGUGUCUUAGGUGACUGUAGCACGCACAUUAUACCUACCAUAUGCGAAUCUUGCAUCACGUACGAGUUUUCAGAUGGUAUGUCGCUCGUUCGAGAAGCAUGACGACCACCCGAAUAUAGUUCAAGGAAUCACCGAGAUCUAAUCGACCUACCGUGCAAUUCCGUGUCGUGUGAACACGGCUAAAUAUUUAUGAACGAUUUACCCUAUCGCUGCAGGUGACGGAAUAAAAAGCACGUGUAAAUAUAUCGCACCGCUUCCUUGAACUCUAUCGAUCACGUUACCAAGUAUCGAACUUGGAUUGAAGACGAUAAUAACGUGUUUCUUUGUUGAUUAACUGGCGCAGCUAAGGAAAAAUCGAUACCCAAGGUAUUCAGACGUAAUACUGCAUAGCCAUUGUCGCACUUCUUCGACGAAGCGUAAUUACGCGAAUAACGGUCAUCCUGAGGAUCAGAGUUCGCGAGUCGUUAAUCGAUCGCAAGGAGACGUCGACCAGACGAUGAGGGAACGAUGCACGGCAUUUCACGCUUGGCAGUUGAAAUGGAAAAAAUUCUAGGUCGACAAAAUGUGUACCAAUUGGAAAAAGACGAAAAAAAAAAAUGCGAUGCGUUUUCAUGAAGACAGAUGAUGCGAUAGGAUCGAAAAAAAAAAUAAAUGCACAAUUGCGAAGGCUACCUGGAUGAGAAAGAAAUACAGGAGGAGAACAGCUGAUAGAGAUAUAAAGAGAGAAAAGUGAAAGAGAAAAAUAUACGUAAUCGAGGAGAAAAUAACGACGAUGUUGAGGACCCAGCGUUUAGGAAGAAGUCACCGAACGUCAGAGUUUCAGAGGACCUGUCGAACGAAAGAAGCCCUCGAGACUGCGAUUCGCGCGUCUAGAGGAAAUAGAAAACUAUGUUUUAGCGUCUCUAUCUAAGCUUUGGUAACCUUUCUGGGAUCUCGAGGGGCUUCCUUUCGUCGGAUCGAGAUCGGUCACUGCGAACAAGCGAGCAAACGAUUCACUGUGAACAGAGGGUAUAUGAGAGAUUUUAUUGCGACGACGAAUAUAACUGUGCUUUUCAAACAAAAAGACAAUGCAAUGUUGUUGUGCAGGCAUCGCGCACAAAGGGGUUACUGCAAAAACCAAUGGGGUUAUAAAUGAGACGGUAUGUUAAACGAAAUAUUGAACAAAAUACUGGUAAUAAAAAGAUUAACAUCCUUUUUGCAACAACCCCGUGAUAAAUGACCGACAGUGAAAUUUUGAGAGAUCUGUCCAUUUCUUGGCGUUUAAUCCUCUCAUGUGAAACGAUUCUUGCUUCUUCCAUCGCGCCGGAAUCCCAAAAACGACACGUAACACG